UUCAUUUAACACUGUUCUGUCACUGGUACUCAACUUGUUUGUUUUUUGAGCCGUUUUCUUUAUAUUAAAAGAAAUUCUAUUCACUGUCAUUUUACCUACUUAUCAUAAACGUUUUUGCAUUAAAUAACCCAUUUGUAUAAACGAUAAAUGACCGUGAUUCUCCUUGUGACAACAACCAUAUCCAAAAUACUUUUAUGAUAUCUCAAAGCUUUAAAAUGGUGUUAAUUGUGUUUCAUUUUAGGGAAAAAUCACUGCUACCGCUGCAUUUAUAAUUUAAAAAAUAAAUUUUUCAAUUUCAAAUAAAAUCAUAUAAAAUUGAAAGGUGCUUUCUACACGUUAAUUAGGUACCUCACUUUCAAUGAAUCAUAAUGUAGAUUUUUCUUUGGUUAUAACACAGCAAGAAAUUAUUAAACAUGGACCAUCUUUAGAUAAAACGCUUAAAAGAUACGUGUUGGGUUAUUGCGCUGUAAGACACUAUGAUUUGAUAGCAUUAAAGAAUACCUUAUCAAAUUCGGGAAUUCACGCUUCAUUUCUGGAUGAUAAAGAACAUAUUCUGCAUUUUAAUUUGUUAGAAUUUCAUUUAUACCACGAUUUCCAACGAAACAAAGAACGUUUGAAUGAAAUUUCUAAGGUUCACAGUUUUGUUUUAGAAAAUGGAGUUUUUGUGUGUUGGGGUCUUAUGAAUGAGCUUCAUUUAACAGAUAAAGAAGCAGUUGAAUUCAUGAUCAAAGAAGCCCAUUCACCUAUUUUAGAAUUUCUCGAUCGAUUUUCCAAUGGUAUUUGGCCCCCUUCAUGGAGUCGUAUUGAUAUAUUACCUUAUUAUCAUAUUUUACCACUGUCUCACCAAAAUGUUUCAAAUUUUUCUAUUAACGCAAAAAAUAAUUUUGAAUUCCAAAAACAAGUUAGAGAUGAACUUCUUGCAGCAUCCUUAGCCUUUGGAACAUCUUGUCGACUUUGCGUUUAUGAAAAUGCAGUGGAUCACGCUAUUUUAAAAUUUGAUGCAUUACCUUCACAACUAGCCUCGAAUAAAUUUGAUCAGCAUUUCAUCUAUGGCAGUUCUCAAAUACGUAAAAUACGGCAAUGGGUUGGAGAAAUUUAUGCCAUCACUGUCGUGAUUAACAUCGCUGAAGGUUUAUUUUACAUAGUUAUCUCUCUUUUCACAUUUAAUUCAUUAGACUUCCUAGAUGUACCUGAAUAUUUUUGGCAUCAUGAUAUCUAUCAACCAGUUUGGCAACGUAUUCAUCAAUACUUUCAAUUAGACAAUCGUAUAAAGGUUUUGAAUCUACGAUUAAAAUGUUUAAAAGAUGUUUUAAAAACGAUCGCUCGACGUCGCGUUUCAGAGCCAUUAUCUUUCGUUUUGCGUCAUUGUUCUUCUAGUCAUAGGAUUGUUAUUAUUGGUGCUUGAAGAGUAUAUUGAUAUUUCAAAAUUUUUUUCUUAAAUAAGUUUUGUUAUUUUGAUAGCAAAGCAGUUUUUUUUUAAUUACAAUACUGCAAAAAAUGUAUUGUUUUAUAUUUUCAUUCAAGUUAUCUUCUAACAAAUAUUUGAGGUUUUAUAAUUCCCAUUAUGUUUACUAUCAGUAUCUAUAUUCAUUUGUUACUGGAUGUAGAAUUUAUAGUAUAUUUGGAAAUUACCCCAACAAAUAGCAGCUGACGGGGCUGUAAAUAAAAGUCUUAAGAAAGCACCCUAAAAACAGAACAAAUUCGUGUUUAAUAUUUUUGUCAUAAUAUUACCCUCCAAAAAACUUUGUAUCCUUCUUCCUUAAAAAGAAGCUUUGCCGUUGUCUUGAAAUUCUAAAAUAAAAAUUUUAUUUUUAUUGAAAAGAAUGGAGUAAUUACUAAUAAAGUACUGUAUAACGAGGCGUUUGCACGUUGCCUUGAUUUCCAUGUAUCACAGAAGAGGGAAAGUGUGAAGACGGCAUAGUCCAAGGUUUUCGUUGAUUUUUAAAUGAAAAAAACGGUUCUUUACGGAAGAAUCUAUUUUGAAACAUGGCAUUAGUCACAAAUGUACAAAUAUGUACACAAAGAAAGGAGAAUAGAUAAAGAUAGAGAGAUAGAAAGACAAAACCAUAUAGUUAAAAAGAGAGCAAGAAACAGAGAGAAAGACAAACUGAGAAAGAAAGUGAAAGAUAUAGAAAGAGAAGGCAAAACAGAGAGGAAAAGACAAAGAAAUAGAGAAAAAAAGGAGAGUUUGUAGUAAAAAAGAAAAGUGAGAAAACC
RNA transcript from Hylaeus volcanicus, 2217 nucleotides. RefSeq lists it as uncharacterized. The record is from RefSeq and is a predicted model, not a curated record. Lineage: Eukaryota; Metazoa; Arthropoda; Insecta; Hymenoptera; Colletidae. The transcript is spliced from 13 exons.